GCAGCAGCCUGAACCAAGAAGCCUGG
RNAcentral lists this non-coding RNA (26 nucleotides) under Cricetulus griseus (Chinese hamster). Lineage: Eukaryota; Metazoa; Chordata; Mammalia; Rodentia; Cricetidae. The record is from RNAcentral.